GCUGGGUGUGGUGGUACACACCUGUAAUCCCAGCUACUUGGGAGGCUGAGGCAGGAGAAUCGUUUGAACCUGGGAGGUGGAGGCUGCAGUGAGCCGAGAUUGCGCCACUGCACUCCAGCCUGGGUGACAGAGCGAGACCCUGUCUCAA
This 148-nucleotide non-coding RNA is filed under the name Nomascus leucogenys (northern white-cheeked gibbon). The record is from Rfam by way of RNAcentral. Lineage: Eukaryota; Metazoa; Chordata; Mammalia; Primates; Hylobatidae.